This 404-nucleotide long non-coding RNA is filed under the name Daucus carota (carrot). RNAcentral describes it as "long non-coding RNA (DCAR_LNC006809)". The record is from RNAcentral. Lineage: Eukaryota; Viridiplantae; Streptophyta; Magnoliopsida; Apiales; Apiaceae.
UCAUGCAUGUAUCUGUGCCAGUAAUUAAUUGGCACAAAUAUCCGCACAGAAUACCAUCAGUCAAAUUAACCUGGCAUGCAGAUACGACAUCAACCACUCACAGCACGCCACGUGGAAAAACCGUACAUUCCCCAUACGGAACGACAAGACCAGGCGGCAAAAGGCUUCACACCUUUUGAAAAUUUUGAAAUCCAUGGCCCAGCAAACACAACCCGGGUAAAUCACGCCAAUAACCCGCCACCUCAGCCCAGCCACUCACAACAAACACGCUCGCCCACAUACAACCCGGAAGUGCACCUUUGCGGGAAGGAUUUUACUUACUCCCCCCACCCGCUAAAGCAGAUGGAAGGAGUAGGGGGGCAAUGAUAAGGUACCACGCUACAGUGACCGCCAACAGUACCCGC